RNAcentral lists this ribosomal RNA (253 nucleotides) under uncultured bacterium. Its description in RNAcentral is "partial 16S ribosomal RNA". It matches the Rfam family "Bacterial small subunit ribosomal RNA", at positions 524 to 776 of the family's 1533-position model. The record is from RNAcentral.
UACGUAGGCAGCGAGCGUUGUUCGGAUUUACUGGGCGUAAAGCGCACGUAGGCGGAUCGUUAAGUCGGGGGUGAAAUCCUGGAGCUCAACUCCAGAACUGCCUUCGAUACUGGCGAUCUCGAGUCCGGAAGAGGUGAGUGGAACUCCUAGUGUAGAGGUGGAAUUCGUAGAUAUUAGGAAGAACACCAGUGGCGAAGGCGGCUCACUGGUCCGGUACUGACGCUGAGGUGCGAAAGCGUGGGGAGCAAACAGG